UGGGGAAUAUUGCACAAUGGGCGCAAGCCUGAUGCAGCCAUGCCGCGUGUAUGAAGAAGGCCUUCGGGUUGUAAAGUACUUUCAGCGGGGAGGAAGGCGUUGUGGUUAAUAACCACAGCGAUUGACGUUACCCGCAGAAGAAGCACCGGCUAACUCCGUGCCAGCAGCCGCGGUAAUAAGGAGGGUGCAAGCGUUAAUCGGAAUUACUGGGCGUAAAGCGCACGCAGGCGGUCUGUUAAGUCAGAUGUGAAAUCCCCGGGCUCAACCUGGGAACUGCAUUUGAAACUGGCAGGCUUGAGUCUCGUAGAGGGGGGUAGAAUUCCAGGUGUAGCGGUGAAAUGCGUAGAGAUCUGGAGGAAUACCGGUGGCGAAGGCGGCCCCCUGGACGAAGACUGACGCUCAGGUGCGAAAGCGUGGGGAGCAAACA
Molecule: ribosomal RNA, 427 nt
Filed under: uncultured bacterium
Lineage: Bacteria
Description: partial 16S ribosomal RNA
Rfam family: Bacterial small subunit ribosomal RNA
Source: RNAcentral